ACUUAGGUAGCUUAUAUAGAGUAUAGCAUUGAAGCUGCUUUGGAGGUAAUUUACCCUUGAGUG
This 63-nucleotide transfer RNA is filed under the name Renocera pallida. RNAcentral describes it as "tRNA-Phe". Lineage: Eukaryota; Metazoa; Arthropoda; Insecta; Diptera; Sciomyzidae. The record is from RNAcentral.